Nomia melanderi (Alkali bee) is the source of this 439-nucleotide non-coding RNA. Lineage: Eukaryota; Metazoa; Arthropoda; Insecta; Hymenoptera; Halictidae. The record is from RefSeq and is a predicted model, not a curated record.
CGCGUAACAGUGUCAUGGUAUUCGAGGCUGACUGUUUGAGUCGAGGAGCUCACGUUGGGGUGAGAAUGCUGGAGAAAUUAGGGACCUCGAGUGAGACGCUAAUAACUUGAUGCUAACGGAUCAUUUUUGGAAUCGCUGGGACCUCUUCUGCGGCGUAUCGCCCACAUUCACGAGAAUAUCGAGGCAUCUCUGUUGGAAGCAAUUAUCGGACACUCCUGCAACGUAAUGUGUCCCACACUGGACUAUUUAACUCUGUGGAAAUCACCUUCUUUCCUCUCGACCUAUUGGUUGAACAACGCUGGACUUGGCGGAGUUUUGAAAUGCGCGAUAGUCAGCGAACUGAGGAAUCCUGGGGACUGGUUGAGAACCACUGACGACGAGAUUCGUUGAAUUCAUUAUCACGUGGGACCUCGCUGCUGGCUGUUGCACGCUUCGAGAC